RNAcentral lists this ribosomal RNA (433 nucleotides) under uncultured bacterium. Its description in RNAcentral is "partial 16S ribosomal RNA". It matches the Rfam family "Bacterial small subunit ribosomal RNA", at positions 29 to 507 of the family's 1533-position model. The record is from RNAcentral.
AACGAACGCUGGCGGCAUGCCUAACACAUGCAAGUCGAACGAGACCUUCGUGUCUAGUGGCGCACGUGUGCGUAACGCGUGGUAACCUGCCCUUAGGUUCGGAAUAACUCCCCGAAAGGGGUCCUAAUACCGCUUAAUCUCUUCGGGCCAAAGAUUUAUCGCCUUUGGAUGGGCCCGCGUUGGAUUAGCUAGUUGGUAGGGUAAAAGCCUAUCAAGGCGACGAUCCAUAGCUGGUCUGAGAGGAUGAUCAUCCACACUGGAACUGAGACACGGACCAGAAUCCUACGGGAGGCAGCAGUGGGGAAUAUUGUACAAUGGGCGAAAGCGUGAUCCAGCAAUGCGGCGUGAGUGAUGAAGGCCUUAGGGUUGUAAAGCUCUUUUACACGGGAUGAUAAUGACAGUACCGGGAGAAUAAGCACCGGCUAACUCCGUG